This 621-nucleotide ribosomal RNA is filed under the name Erwinia sp. FB1. RNAcentral describes it as "bacterial SSU rRNA". It matches the Rfam family "Bacterial small subunit ribosomal RNA", at positions 77 to 695 of the family's 1533-position model. Lineage: Bacteria; Pseudomonadati; Pseudomonadota; Gammaproteobacteria; Enterobacterales; Erwiniaceae. The record is from RNAcentral.
UGCUCCUUGGGUGACGAGUGGCGGACGGGUGAGUAAUGUCUGGGGAUCUGCCCGAUGGAGGGGGAUAACUACUGGAAACGGUAGCUAAUACCGCAUAACGUCGCAAGACCAAAGUGGGGGACCUUCGGGCCUCACACCAUCGGAUGAACCCAGAUGGGAUUAGCUAGUAGGUGGGGUAAUGGCUCACCUAGGCGACGAUCCCUAGCUGGUCUGAGAGGAUGACCAGCCACACUGGAACUGAGACACGGUCCAGACUCCUACGGGAGGCAGCAGUGGGGAAUAUUGCACAAUGGGCGCAAGCCUGAUGCAGCCAUGCCGCGUGUAUGAAGAAGGCCUUCGGGUUGUAAAGUACUUUCAGCGGGGAGGAAGGGAUGAUGUUUAAUACGCAUCGUCAUUGACGUUACCCGCAGAAGAAGCACCGGCUAACUCCGUGCCAGCAGCCGCGGUAAUACGGAGGGUGCAAGCGUUAAUCGGAAUUACUGGGCGUAAAGCGCACGCAGGCGGUCUGUCAAGUCGGAUGUGAAAUCCCCGGGCUUAACCUGGGAACUGCAUUCGAAACUGGCAGGCUAGAGUCUUGUAGAGGGGGGUAGAAUUCCAGGUGUAGCGGUGAAAUGCGUAGAG